GUGCCAGCAGCCGCGGUAAUACGAAGGGACCUAGCGUAGUUCGGAAUUACUGGGCUUAAAGAGCUCGUAGGUGGUUAAGAAAGUUGGUGGUGAAAGCCCAAGGCUUAACCUUGGAACUGCCACCAAAACUUUUUGACUAGAGUAUGAUAGAGGUAAGUGGAAUUUCUAGUGUAGAGGUGAAAUUCGUAGAUAUUAGAAAGAACACCAAUUGCGAAGGCAACUUUCUGGAUCAUUACUGACACUGAGGAGCGAAAGCAUGGGUAGCGAAGAGGAUUAGAUACCCUCGUAGUCCAUGCCGUAAACGAUGUGUGCUAGACGUUGGGAAUUUAGUUCUCAGUGUCGCAGCGAAAGCGUUAAGCACACCGCCUGGGGAGUACGACCGCAAGGUUAAAACUCAAAUGAAUUGACGGGGACCCGCACAAGCAGUGGAGCAUGUGGUUUAAUUCGAAGAUACGCGCAGAACCUUACCAACACUUGACAUGUUCGUCGCGAACCUAAGAGAUUAGGUUCUUCAUUUAGUUGGACGAAACACAGGUGCUGCAUGGCUGUCGUCAGCUCGUGUCGUGAGAUGUUGGGUUAAGUCCCGCAACGAGCGCAACCCUUACUUUUAGUUGCCACCAUUUAGUUGAGCACUCUAAAAGAACUGCCAGUGAUAAGCUGGAGGAAGGCGGGGAUGACGUCAAGUCCUCAUGGCCCUUACGUGUUGGGCUACACACGUGCUACAAUGGCACUUACAAUGAGAUGCAAAGAGGCAACUCCUAGCNAAUCUCAAAAAGGUGUCUCAGUUCGGAUUGUACUCUGCNACUCGAGUACAUGAAGCUGGAAUUGCUAGUAAUCGCGGAUCAGCGCGCCGCGGUGAAUACGUUCCCGGGUCUUGCACACACCGCCCGUC
This 892-nucleotide ribosomal RNA is filed under the name uncultured bacterium. RNAcentral's name for it is "bacterial SSU rRNA". It matches the Rfam family "Bacterial small subunit ribosomal RNA", at positions 505 to 1398 of the family's 1533-position model. The record is from RNAcentral.